CCCUUGCUUGCCACUCAGGUCCUACAGGUCCUAAUAGAAAAAUAAAGACGUCAACAAGCCAAGAAGAAAGCAUCACCUCAGAGACUGAAACUGACAGGCAUUUGGCAGCUGCUGAACCUCUCUCAGCAACAUGUGCCAUCUUUGAGGUGGUGUCAGCACAGCAGUCGAGCAAAGCUGUGCAGGAGCUGCUCCCAGAGUUGUUUCCUGUUCUCCUGCAGCAGGUCAGCUGAACCUCAGGACAAAAGAUGCCUUUGCCAAGGAUAAGCAGCUGGAGCCUAUUCCAAAAAGACCAACAACAUACUGAGGGCAACCCUUGCCGGUUUUCUGUCCAAGCGUUAGAAUCUGUGCUUUCUAAAGCUGGGAAUGAGAGACUGGUGAGA
Mauremys reevesii (Reeves's turtle) is the source of this 380-nucleotide long non-coding RNA. RefSeq lists it as uncharacterized. The record is from RefSeq and is a predicted model, not a curated record. The transcript is spliced from 3 exons. NCBI's taxonomy places the organism in Eukaryota, Metazoa, Chordata, Testudines, Geoemydidae.